This 138-nucleotide unclassified non-coding RNA is filed under the name soil metagenome. RNAcentral describes it as "partial internal transcribed spacer 1". The record is from RNAcentral.
AAGAGUUGCAAAACUCCCACAACCAUCGCGAACGUACCUGCAGACGUCGUUGCUUCGGCGGGGGCUCCCUCCGGGAGGGACGCGGAAUCCAAACUCUUGCUUUAUUCGGCCUCUCUGAGUAUGAUUUUAAAUAAGUUC